Molecule: transfer RNA, 72 nt
Filed under: Allacta bimaculata
Lineage: Eukaryota; Metazoa; Arthropoda; Insecta; Blattodea; Pseudophyllodromiidae
Description: tRNA-Ser
Source: RNAcentral
AAUUAAUAAGUUAAAUAAGCAAAAAAUAUAUUUUGAAAAUAUAAUAAAGGAGUUUAAUUCUCCUAUUAACUU